AAAUAAAAGAGUAAUUAAAAAUAAGGGUAAUAUUGUAAACUUAUGUUUAUCAAGGAGAUUUUUUGCCAUUAUAAAAACAGUAAUGGGAUAAAUAGUAUAUGUUAAUUACUGUAGGGGGAAAAGUGGCAAUCCCCCAAUAUUAUAAUCUUCUCGUGAGUUACACAAAACCAAAAUGAUUGAGUUUAGUUCACCAUUACAAAGAUUGUUAUGUUUUCCAGUUAAAUUUGGAAAAGUAAAACCUGAAAUGUGUAAGACACUUGUUCGUCCUCUAGACUAAACUCAUCUGUGAGGUUAAGGCUUGAUUCAACAUAUAAAGUGAGGUCAUAAGGAUUCUGCUCCUCUUCUCAAUAUUCUUGCGGGGGUCAGUUGCGGUUUUUUGUCAAUUGGAUUUUUUCUCAUUUUCUUUAAAAAUAUAAAGGCCAAUGUAUAUUCGUGUUGUUUUUAUACCUUAUCAGGGACUGACUUGUGGAACACGACAGUCUCAAAGACAUAAGUGACAAGAAAGAAGCCCAAUAUAUAUAGACCCUGGACCAUUCGCACCCAUUUGAAACUUAAGUUUGGAUUUUUUAGACUUAGACCAUGGGCCACUUGUACGGCCUAGGUUGGGCAGAGUAGGAACCAUAGUAUAAGUAAACAAAUCUUACGGCCACCAAUUAAAAAGAAAUUAUCGUGGGUUACUGCAUUUACUAAACGAAAAUUGGAAUGAGUUAGAAUUAAAAUGGAUAGGGAUUGAAAUAGGUUGAAAUUAGAAUAGAGAAUAGGAAUAAAAACUAAGAGCAUUUUCAAAAGUCUC
This 793-nucleotide long non-coding RNA is filed under the name Citrus x clementina. Its description in RNAcentral is "Citrus clementina (C. clementina) long non-coding RNA (CCLE_LNC003858)". The record is from RNAcentral. Lineage: Eukaryota; Viridiplantae; Streptophyta; Magnoliopsida; Sapindales; Rutaceae.